GUAGGUGGCAAGCGUUGUCCGGGAAUUAUUGGGGCGUAAAGCGCGCGCAGGCGGUUCUUUAAGUCUGAUGUGAAAGCCCACGGGCUCAACCGUGGAGGGUCAUUGGAAACUGGAGAACUUGAGUACAGAAGAGGGAAGCGGAAUUCCACGUGUAGCGGUGAAAUGCGUAGAGAUGUGGAGGAACACCAGUGGCGAAGGCGGCUUUCUGGUCUGUAACUGACGCUGAGGCGCGAAAGCGUGGGGAGCAAACAGGAUUAGAUACCCUGGUAGUCCACGCCGUAAACGAUGAGUGCUAAGUGUUAGGGGGUUUCCGCCCCUUAGUGCUGCAGCUAACGCAUUAAGCACUCCGCCUGGGGAGUACGGCCGCAAAGGCUG
Molecule: ribosomal RNA, 375 nt
Filed under: uncultured organism
Description: partial 16S ribosomal RNA
Rfam family: Bacterial small subunit ribosomal RNA
Source: RNAcentral